UUAAAUUGAAGAGUUUGAUCAUGGCUCAGAUUGAACGCUGGCGGCAGGCCUAACACAUGCAAGUCGAACGGUAACAGGAAGCAGCUUGCUGCUUCGCUGACGAGUGGCGGACGGGUGAGUAAUGUCUGGGAAACUGCCUGAUGGAGGGGGAUAACUACUGGAAACGGUAGCUAAUACCGCAUAACGUCGCAAGACCAAAGAGGGG
Molecule: ribosomal RNA, 205 nt
Filed under: Escherichia coli
Lineage: Bacteria; Pseudomonadati; Pseudomonadota; Gammaproteobacteria; Enterobacterales; Enterobacteriaceae
Also listed under: 3 other names
Description: partial 16S ribosomal RNA
Rfam family: Bacterial small subunit ribosomal RNA
Source: RNAcentral